GCACCAAGAAACAAGUGUGAAACUAUGGACAGCGUAACAUUUCCUGUUGGCCACCUGCGUUUAAUCUCCGACUGUCCUGGCUUAUACAGCUGUUCACCUCAGAUCACAAUCUCACCUCCAGAAAGGAGGCCUGGCACAAUCAGGAAGCCAUCUACAUCUCUGCUCCCCUCAUGCAAAGAUAAACAAAUCACAACUCUGUUUAGGUUUGGAUGAAGUUCUAGAGGCUCUUGGCAUCAUUCAAGGUCCUGAAACUAAGAAGAUCACAGGGAUGGAGGAAAGAGAUCUUAAGGGAGGUGGGAAGUAAAGAAGCUGAUUGAAUACAAGCAGCAGGAAGACUGAAGAGGGACUGAGGGAAGAGAAGGAAGCAGCUGGAGGAGAGGGAAGGGCAUGGCAAAGUGGGAGGAGCAGGAAGAACUGAAUGACAGCUGUAUGUGGAGAUGCUCUAACCCACUACUUCCUGACUGU
Chionomys nivalis (European snow vole) is the source of this 465-nucleotide long non-coding RNA. RefSeq lists it as uncharacterized. The record is from RefSeq and is a predicted model, not a curated record. The transcript is spliced from 3 exons. NCBI's taxonomy places the organism in Eukaryota, Metazoa, Chordata, Mammalia, Rodentia, Cricetidae.